GACGAACGCUGGCGGCGUGCUUAACACAUGCAAGUCGAACGGAAAGGCCCUGCUUUUGUGGGGUGCUCGAGUGGCGAACGGGUGAGUAACACGUGAGUAACCUGCCCUUGACUUUGGGAUAACUUCAGGAAACUGGGGCUAAUACCGGAUAGGAGCUCCUGCUGCAUGGUGGGGGUUGGAAAGUUUCGGCGGUUGGGGAUGGACUCGCGGCUUAUCAGCUUGUUGGUGGGGUAGUGGCUUACCAAGGCUUUGACGGGUAGCCGGCCUGAGAGGGUGACCGGCCUCAUUGGGACUGAGAUACGGCCCAGACUCCUACGGGAGGCAGCAGGGGGGAAUCUUGCACAAUGGGCGGGAGCCUGAUGCAGCAACGCCGCGUGCGGGAUGACGGCCUUCGGGUUAUGAACCGCUUUCGCCUGUGACGAAGCGUGAGUGACGGUAAUGGGUAAAGAAGCACCGGCUAACUACGUG
RNAcentral lists this ribosomal RNA (468 nucleotides) under uncultured bacterium. RNAcentral describes it as "partial 16S ribosomal RNA". It matches the Rfam family "Bacterial small subunit ribosomal RNA", at positions 28 to 507 of the family's 1533-position model. The record is from RNAcentral.